Molecule: ribosomal RNA, 2692 nt
Filed under: Armatimonadota bacterium
Lineage: Bacteria; Bacillati; Armatimonadota
Description: Armatimonadetes bacterium (soil metagenome) partial 23S ribosomal RNA
Rfam family: Bacterial large subunit ribosomal RNA
Source: RNAcentral
UUUUGUUAAGCUACAAAGGGUAUACGACGGAUGCCUAGGGACAAGAAGCCGAUGAAGGGCGUGUAAGCGACGAAACGCCUCGGGGAACUGCACAAGAGUGUCGAUCCGAGGGUGCCCGAAUGGAGAAAUCCGGCUGGAGUAAUGUCCAGUCAUUCCUAGCUGAAUACAUAGGCUAGCGAAGGGGAACCUGCUGAACUGAAACAUCUAAGUAAGCAGAGGAAAAGAAAUCGAAGAGAUUCCGUAAGUAGCGGCGAGCGAAAUCGGAAGAGCCUAAACCAGUCAGCUUGCUGAUUGGGGUUGCGGGACCAUGUUUAGUGAAAAUAGACGAGUGGAACUUACUGGAAAGUAGGGUCAUAGAAGGUGACAACCCUGUACACGAAGUCGACGAUAACGAUUGGUAUCCCAAGUAGCACGAAUCACGAGGAAUUUUGUGCGAAUCUGUCCGGACCACCGGAUAAGGCUAAAUACUUCUUGUCACCGAUAGCGAAUAGUACCGUGAGGGAAAGGUGAAAAGAACCCCGGUUAGGGGAGUGAAAUAGUUCCUGAAAUCGUAUUACCUACAAACAGUCAGAGCGCUAUGCUAGGAGCAAUCCUAGAAUGCGUUAUGGCGUGCCUUUUGCAGAAUGAGCCUGCGAGUUGUUCGUACCGGCAAGGUUAAGCGGUUAAGCCGCGGAGCCGGAGGGAAACCGAGUCUGAAUAGGGCGUUCAGUCGGUGCGAGCAGACCCGAAACUGCGUGAUCUAGCCAUGGCCAGGCUGAAGUGAAGGUAACACUUCAUGGAGGGCCGAACUCAUAGACGUUGAAAAGUCUCGGGAUGAGCUGUGGUUAGUCCGGUGAAAUGCCAAUCGAACGCAGAGAUAGCUGGUUCUCCCCGAAAUGCAUUUAGGUGCAGCGUUACGUGUUCUCGUAUGGAGGUAGAGCACUGAAUGGGCUAAGGGUCCUACCAGAUUACUGAACCCAAUCAAACUCCGAAUACCAUACGAUCAAGCGUAGCAGUGAGACGGCGAGUGCUAAGAUCCGUCGUCAAAAGGAAAACAAUCCAGAUCAGCAGCUAAGGGCCGUAAACCACGGCUAAGUGUGAAACGAUGUGAGAUUGCGUAAACAGCCAGGAGGUUGGCUUGGAGGCAGCCACCCUUUAAAAAGUGCGUAACAGCUUACUGGCCGAAUGUGAUCUCGCGCGGACAAUUUAAGCGGGCUAAAGCCGUGUCCCGAAGCUCUGGGUGGCGUCGUUAAGGCGUCGCGGUAGGGGAGCGUUCUGUAUGCAGUGAAGCUUGAGCGUGAGCACAGGUGGAGCGUACAGAAGUGAGAAUGCAGGCAUGAGUAGCGAUCACAAAGGUGAGAAUCCUUUGCGCCGAAAACCCAAGGUUUCCCCCGCCAUGUUCGUCAGAGGGGGGUUAGGCGAUAUCCUAAGGCGAGGCCGGAAGGCGUAGUCGAUGGACAGACGGUUGAUAUUCCGUCCCCAAGUACGUUUGGUCAAGAGGGACGCUUCUAAAGGUUCUAUCCCACACCGUUGGUUGUUGUGGGCCCAAAAUCGGCGUGGCGCGGCGAAAACGCGCGGAAUCGCUGAUGAGGGGGAAGGGAUCGCUUCGGCGUGAACGAACUAGGACUGCUGGGGGCCGAGAAAAGCUCUAUAGACUAUAUUCGUAUUUGUUCGUACCGUAAACCGACACAGGUAGGUGAGUCGAGAAGACUAAGGCGUUCGAGAGAACUCUUGUUAAGGAACUAGGCAAACGAGCCCCGUAACUUCGGAAUAAGGGGCGCCCACUUCGGUGGGCCGCAGCUAAGCAUCUCAGGCGACUGUUUACCAAAAACACAGGUCUCUGCUAAGACGAAAGUCGACGUAUAGGGGCUGACGCCUGCCCAAUGCUCGUAGGUUAAUCGGAGGUGUUAGGGGUAACCCGAGGCACCGAAUUGAAGCCCGAGUGAAUGGCGGCCGUAACUCUAACGGUCCUAAGGUAGCGAAAUUCCUUGUCGGGUAAGUUCCGACCCGCAUGAAAGGCGUAACGACUUGAGAACUGUCUCAACAAGAAGCUCGGUGAAAUUGUAGCACCCGCGAAGAUGCGGGUUCCGCGCAGUAGGACGGAAAGACCCCGUGGAGCUUUACUACACCUUGAGAUUGUAAUUUGGAUUGUGAUGUAGAGCGUAGGUGGGAGCUUCGGCACCAAUGGAACACCACCCUUCGCACUCUGAAUUACUAACCCUUGCCGUUAUCCGGUAAGGAGACCGUCUUAGGCGGGUAGUUUGACUGGGGCGGUCGCCUCCCAAAAAGUAACGGAGGCGUUCAAAGGUACCCUCAGCCUGGUUGGAAAUCAGGCGCCGAGCGUAAUGGUAUAUAGGGUGCUUAACUGUGAGACAAACAAGUCGAGCAGAGACGAAAGUCGGACAUAGUGACCCUCUGGUUGUGCGUGGGCACGCCAGGGUUCAUCGGAUAAAAGCUACCCCGGGGAUAACAGGCUGAUCUUGCCCGAGCGCUCACAGCGACGGCAUGGUUUGGCACCUCGAUGUCGGCUCGUCACAUCCUGGGGCUGUAUUAGGUCCCAAGGGUUGGGCUGUUCGCCCAUUAAAGUGGCACGCGAGCUGGGUUCAGAACGGCGUGAGCCAGUUCGGUCCCUAUCCACUGCGCGCGCAGGAUAUUUGAGAGGAGUCGUUCCUAGUACGAGAGGACCGGAAUGAACUGACCUCUGGUGUACCAG